CUAGAACUAGCCGGCCACUUUGGUGCCAGCAGGGGCAGAUUCCACUGUGUUCCACCCGACACGGGAUAGGGAGCACAGGUAAGCAGGUGCAGGAGCUGCAGCAAGCACUUUUAAGCACUGGCAGGAGCAAAAUUUCAUGUGGCCCUGUGGCAGCAUCUAGGAGGAUGCCCGAGACCCCUGAAGCCCCAGAAAGAAUGUUACGCAAUAUUUCAGAUGUACCAGUCUCCUGUCCAAGAAUCCCCAAACACAGGGCAUCGACUGCCCAGCAAAAUAGAAUGAACCCCUUAUUCUCCCCUCUGGAGGCUAAGUUAAGAAAAGUGAAGAACUUCGUUUGGUUAUUCAGUCAGUUCAAUGAAGCCUAGAGUGAAGAAACUAAACAUAUAUAUAUAUAUAUAGCUUCUGUUAGUCCUCAGUAUUAAAAGUUAGCUUUUUUGUAAAAAUUUUUCAUUUUUAUAAACUUCUGAAAUGUAAUUUAAAUUUUCCUCUUUGUUGGUCAAUAUUAUCUAAUAUUAGCUAAUUAUGUUACUUUAUUAGCAAUAUUAGCUAUUUGUGUUGCAUGAUUAGUCCUUUCAUUGAUAUCACAUUUUUUCAAGUUACAGACUUAUAUCUGUAUCUGGCAUCUGCUAUGGUUUAAAUGUUUUUGUCUCCUCUAAAAUUCAUGUUAAAACUUAAUUUUUAAUGCAAGAGUAUUGGAGGAUGUGGGUCAUGAAUGGGAUUAGGGAUUAAUCCUUUAUAAAAGGACUUGAUGGAGUCCCUGUAACAGUUGGAAGCUACCUCUUUGCCCUGCUGCCUUCUGCCAUGUGAGGACACAGCAUUCUUCUCCUCUGGAGGAUGCAGCUUUCAAGGCACCAUCUUAGAAGCAGAGAUUGGACCCUCACCAGACAACUUAACCUGACAGCGCCUUGAUCUUGGACUUCUUAGCCUCUAGAACUGUGAGAAAUAAAUCUCUGUUCUUUUUAAAUUACCCAGUCUCGGGUAUUCUG
RNAcentral lists this long non-coding RNA (983 nucleotides) under Homo sapiens (human). RNAcentral describes it as "HSALNT0373033". The record is from RNAcentral. Lineage: Eukaryota; Metazoa; Chordata; Mammalia; Primates; Hominidae.